This is a long non-coding RNA of Sander lucioperca (pikeperch), 1468 nucleotides long. RefSeq lists it as uncharacterized. The transcript is spliced from 2 exons. Lineage: Eukaryota; Metazoa; Chordata; Actinopteri; Perciformes; Percidae. The record is from RefSeq and is a predicted model, not a curated record.
GGGUCUAACAUUAGCGGGUCUAACGUUAGCGGGCUGGGUCUAACAUUAGCGGGCUGGGUCUAACAUUAGCAGGCUGGGUCUAACAUUAGCGGGCUGGGUCUGACAUUAGCAGGCUGGGUCUGACAUUAGCAGGCUGGGUCUGACAUUAGCGGGCUGGGUCUAACAUUAGCGGGCUGGGUCUGACAUUAGCAGGCUGGGUCUGACAUUAGCGGGCUGGGUCUAACAUUAGCGGGUCUGACAUUAGCAGGCUGGGUCUGACAUUAGCGGGCUGGGUCUGACAUUAGCGGGUCUAACGUUAGCAGGCUGGGUCUAACAUUAGCGGGUCUGACGUUAGCGGGCUGGGUCUAACAUUAGCGGGCUGGGUCUAACAUUAGCAGGCUGGGUCUAACAUUAGCGGGCUGGGUCUAACAUUAGCAGGCUGGGUCUAACAUUAGCGGGCUGGGUCUGACAUUAGCAGGCUGGGUCUGACAUUAGCAGGCUGGGUCUGACAUUAGCGGGCUGGGUCUAACAUUAGCGGGCUGGGUCUGACAUUAGCGGGUCUAACAUUAGCAGGCUGGGUCUGACAUUAGCAGGCUGGGUCUGACAUUAGCGGGCUGGGUCUGACAUUAGCAGGCUGGGUCUGACAUUAGCGGGCUGGGUCUAACAUUAGCGGGUCUGACAUUAGCAGGCUGGGUCUGACAUUAGCGGGCUGGGUCUGACAUUAGCGGGUCUAACGUUAGCAGGCUGGGUCUAACUGUCCCUCCUCCUCACUCCCUGGCCCUGCAACUCCGAGAACUUCUCCCAAGCUGCGUCACAGUUUAUGGCCCCACUGACGCGUAUUGUCACUAUGACAACUAACAACAAUCGCCAUUUUGUUGUGUACCAAUCAAAUGACCACAAGAAACUGUUCGGUGGCCUUUCUAUCCAUUUUAUUUCUAUGGUCAGACGUGUCAAAGACUUUGAAUUAAAGCGUCUUUUGACAUUUAAUCAAAUGCAAAACAAAUGUAGCAUCUGCUGUGUUUUUUAUGACGAAAUGUUCUUUUUUUUACAGUAAUAAUGCCCUUCAUACAUUCUCAUGUGCUCUUUCCUCUCUGUGGGAUUUUGAUUUUAUAAACUGCUUUCACUUCAAACAUUGAUUGGUUGUUGCUUUUUUUUACUUUUACUUUGGGGGAAAAAAAGGGUUUUUGGGCGGAUGAGUAGAAGCUCUGCUGGAAAUUAUGCGACAUUUAUUUCAGUAUAACUGAUUAUGUAUUUUCUCUUUUUUGAUUAGUAUUAUCUGUGCCUGAUGAAUUACUGUAUCUAAGAAAUGAAAAGAAAUCAUUAACUGGGGGAGUUAUUAGGUUGAUAUUAGUUCAUUGUGAUUUUGAAUUUGCCGAAAUGUUUGAGUUUGUUUUCUACGCUUUUGAUAACAAACAAUGAUGAUUUAUGUUUUGUGAAUGAUUCCACACAGCGUACGAUUUUUUUAAUAAACAUCAUCCAAUAAACUGUG